AAUACCUUUAACUUAGUCCUGUGAGGCUAGGAAGGAUCUAAUUGAACGUGAUAAGUAUAGCGCCUUUCCAGUCCACGGCUGGGAAGGCUUUUUCUU
The sequence is a regulatory RNA element, 96 nucleotides long. It matches the Rfam family "PyrR binding site". Rfam says of the family: This family represents the PyrR binding site and terminator structure. The record is from Rfam.